GGGCUUGUAGUUUAGUGGUAGAACGCUUACCUGCCAUGUAUGAGGCACUGGGUUCGAGACUCAGCAGCACA
RNAcentral lists this transfer RNA (71 nucleotides) under Marmota monax (woodchuck). RNAcentral's name for it is "tRNA.Gly". It matches the Rfam family "tRNA". Rfam says of the family: Transfer RNA (tRNA) molecules are approximately 80 nucleotides in length. Their secondary structure includes four short double-helical elements and three loops (D, anti-codon, and T loops). Lineage: Eukaryota; Metazoa; Chordata; Mammalia; Rodentia; Sciuridae. The record is from RNAcentral.